Molecule: small nuclear RNA, 294 nt
Filed under: Cebus imitator (Panamanian white-faced capuchin)
Lineage: Eukaryota; Metazoa; Chordata; Mammalia; Primates; Cebidae
Description: 7SK RNA (ENSCCAG00000010027.1)
Rfam family: 7SK RNA
About the family: 7SK was discovered as an abundant small nuclear RNA in the mid-70s but a possible function has only recently been suggested. Two independent studies have found that 7SK RNA binds the CDK9/cyclin T complex (known as elongation factor P-TEFb).
Source: Rfam by way of RNAcentral
GGAUGUGAGGGCGAUCUGGCUGCAACAUCUGUCACCCCAUUGAUCGCCAGGGUUGAUUCGGCUGAUCUGGCUGGCUAGGCGGGUGUCCCCUUCCUCCCUCACCGCUCCAUGUGCGUCCCUCCCGAAGCUGCACGCUCGGUCGAAGAGGACGACCAUCCCCGAUAGAGGAGGACCGGUCUUCGGUCAAGGGUAUACGAGUAGCUGCGCUCCCCUGCUAGAACCUCCAAAAAAAAAAAAAACUAAAAAUAGAGUACCAUACAAUCCAGUAAUCUCACUACUGAGUAUUAUCCACAG